CGGCGAGUGAAGCGGCAAUAGCUCAAAUUUGAAAUCUGGCUCUUUCAGGGUCCGAGUUGUAAUUUGUAGAGGAUGUUUCGGGCAACGUUUCGGUUUAAAUUCCUUGGAACAGGAUGUCAUAGAGGGUGAGAGUCCCGUCUUGAUCCGUAUACCGCGUCCAUGUGAAACUCCUUCGACGAGUCGAGUUGUUUGGGAAUGCAGCUCAAAAUGGGAGGUAAAUUUCUUCUAAAGCUAAAUAUUGGCCAGAGACCGAUAGCGCACAAGUAGAGUGAUCGAAAGAUGAAAAGCACUUUGAAAAGAGAGUUAAACAGUAUGUGAAAUUGUUGAAAGGGAAGCGCUUGCAACCAGACUUGUGUUUAACGGUUCCACCACUGUUUUCAGUGGCCUAUUCCGUUAUAUCCAGGCCAGCAUCGGUUUGGGUGGUUAGUUAAAGGCCGUGGGAAUGUAUCUACCCUUCGGGGUCGACUUAUAGCCCUUGGUGUAAUGUGACCUACCUAGACCGAGGCACGCGCAUCUGCUCGGAUGCUGGCGUAAUGGUUGUAAGCGACCCGUCUUGAAACACGGACCAAGGAGUCUAACAUCUAUGCGAGUGUUCGGGUGUCAAACCCCUACGCGUAAUGAAAGUGAACGGAGGUAAGAACCCGUAAGGGUGCAUUGUCGACCGAUCCUGAUGUCUUCGGAUGGAUUUGAGUAAGAGCAUAGCUGUUGGGACCCGAAAGAUGGUGAACUAUGCCUGAAUAGGGUGAAGCCAGAGGAAACUCUGGUGGAGGCUCGCAGCGGUUCUGACGUGCAAAUCGAUCGUCAAAUUUGGGUAUAGGGGCGAAAGACUAAUCGAA
This 836-nucleotide ribosomal RNA is filed under the name Eurotiomycetes sp. Its description in RNAcentral is "partial large subunit ribosomal RNA". It matches the Rfam family "Eukaryotic large subunit ribosomal RNA", at positions 87 to 939 of the family's 3401-position model. Lineage: Eukaryota; Fungi; Ascomycota; Eurotiomycetes. The record is from RNAcentral.